This 511-nucleotide ribosomal RNA is filed under the name uncultured Ideonella sp. Its description in RNAcentral is "bacterial SSU rRNA". It matches the Rfam family "Bacterial small subunit ribosomal RNA", at positions 1 to 506 of the family's 1533-position model. Lineage: Bacteria; Pseudomonadati; Pseudomonadota; Betaproteobacteria; Burkholderiales; Sphaerotilaceae. The record is from RNAcentral.
UAUAUUGAGAUUUUGCCCAUUCUGAGAGUGAGCGCGGGGCGCAUGCCAUACACGUACAACUCGAACCAUAACGCGGGGCAACCUGGUGGCGAGUGGCGAACGGGUGAGUAAUACAUCGGAACGUGCCCAGUAAUGGGGGAUAGCCCGGCGAAAGCCGGAUUAAUACCGCAUACGACCUACGGGUGAAAGAGGGGGAUCGCAAGACCUCUCGUUAUUGGAGCGGCCGAUGUCAGAUUAGGUAGUUGGUGGGGUAAAGGCCCACCAAGCCGACGAUCUGUAGCUGGUCUGAGAGGACGACCAGCCACACUGGGACUGAGACACGGCCCAGACUCCUACGGGAGGCAGCAGUGGGGAAUUUUGGACAAUGGACGCAAGUCUGAUCCAGCAAUGCCGCGUGCGGGAAGAAGGCCUUCGGGUUGUAAACCGCUUUUGUCAGGGAAGAAAUCUUCUGGGCUUAAUACCUCGGGUAGUGAUGACGGUACCUGCAAGAAUAAGCACCGGCUACCUACGC